Molecule: long non-coding RNA, 356 nt
Organism: Daphnia pulicaria
Lineage: Eukaryota; Metazoa; Arthropoda; Branchiopoda; Diplostraca; Daphniidae
Exons: 2
Source: RefSeq, a predicted model, not a curated record
UAUCAGCCAAUUAGAGCCAAAAGGUGAAAAUCAUGUGCGCGGAAAAGAAAAGAAACUCGUCCAUCAGUCUCCUUGCGCCGUAUAAAAAUGGAAUCAUUUCCAUCCGAAUGUUCAUCCAAGAAACAUCUCAGCACUUUUUAACUACUUGCCAAUCAUCUUCUGUCUUUAAAUCUACAACAUUAAAUGUGAAAACAUCGGUUACAUGCCCAGUACCGGUGAGAAAUGCGGAGGAAUUUGCUACGCCAAUUUUCAAUGCACUCAUUUUGCUCAUGGAAAUGGAUACUGUUUCAUGUUUAGCGAUUUCAGAGGAUUGUUUUCCGAGCAUGAAGCAGGGUAGACUUGUGGUUACAUUCCCA